UACGUAUGGUGCGAACGUUGUUCGGAAUCACUGGGCAUAAAGAGCACGUAGGCGGUCGGGCAAGUCCGGUGUGAAAUCCCCCAGCUCAACUGGGGAACUGCAUUGGAUACUACCUGACUGGAGUGCAGGAGGGGAGAGUGGAAUUCCAGGUGGAGCGGUGAAAUGCGUAGAUAUCUGGAGGAACGCCAGUGGCGAAAGCGACUCUCUGGUCUGCAACUGACGCUGAGGUGCGAAAGCUAGGGGAGCAAACGGG
Molecule: ribosomal RNA, 253 nt
Filed under: uncultured bacterium
Lineage: Bacteria
Description: partial 16S ribosomal RNA
Rfam family: Bacterial small subunit ribosomal RNA
Source: RNAcentral